Molecule: ribosomal RNA, 468 nt
Filed under: uncultured bacterium
Lineage: Bacteria
Description: bacterial SSU rRNA
Rfam family: Bacterial small subunit ribosomal RNA
Source: RNAcentral
ACGAACGCUGGCGGCGUGCUUAACACAUGCAAGUCGAACGGGUUUCAAUGAGGUAGCAAUACCUCAUUGGGAUUAGUGGCGGACGGGUGAGUAACACGUAGGUAACCAACCCUCAAGCGGGGGACAACCCGGGGAAACUCGGGCUAAUACCGCAUAAGACCACGGGCUGGGAGGUUUGUGGUAAAAGUAGCAAUACACUUGAGGCUGGGCCUGCGGCCUAUCAGGUAGUUGGUAAGGUAAAGGCUUACCAAGCCUAAGACGGGUAGCCGGACUGAGAGGUUGAACGGCCACACUGGAACUGAGAUACGGUCCAGACUCCUACGGGAGGCAGCAGUGGGGAAUUUUGCGCAAUGGGCGAAAGCCUGACGCAGCGACGCCGCGUGGAGGAUGAAGGUUUUCGGAUUGUAAACUCCUUUUGUUGGGGAAGAUAAUGACGGUACCCGAUGAAUAAGCCACGGCUAACUCUGU